RNAcentral lists this ribosomal RNA (516 nucleotides) under uncultured bacterium. RNAcentral describes it as "bacterial SSU rRNA". It matches the Rfam family "Bacterial small subunit ribosomal RNA", at positions 29 to 518 of the family's 1533-position model. The record is from RNAcentral.
AACGAACGCUGGUAGCGUGGAUUAGGCAUGCAAGUCGAACGGGAUCCAUGAAGUAGCAAUACUUUAUGGUGAGAGUGGCGGAUUGGGGAGGAACACGUGAGCAACCUGCCUUGAGUUGGGGAAAACCAUUGGAAACGAUGGCUAAUACCGGAUGUGGCGCCUGGGGACAUCCCCGGAGCGCUAAAGGGGGCGACCCGCAAGGGGCUCCCGCUCAUUGAAGGGCUCGCGCACCAUCAGCUUGUUGGCGGGUAACGGCCCACCAAGGCUUACGGUUAGCUGGUCUGAGAGGAUGACCAGCCCCACUGGGACUGAGAUACUGCCCAGACUCCUACGGGAGGCUGCAGUCGAGGAUCAUUUGCAAUGGGCGAAAGCCUGACAAUGCGACGCUGCGUGGAGGAAUGAAGGCCUUCGGGUUGUAAACUCCUGUCAUAAGGGAACAGGCGAUCCUACCUAAUACGUAGGAAAGUUGAGUGUACUUUAAGAGGAAGGGACGGCUAACUCUGUGCCAGCAGCAGC